RNAcentral lists this ribosomal RNA (432 nucleotides) under uncultured bacterium. Its description in RNAcentral is "bacterial SSU rRNA". It matches the Rfam family "Bacterial small subunit ribosomal RNA", at positions 340 to 786 of the family's 1533-position model. The record is from RNAcentral.
UACGGGAGGCAGCAGUGGGGAAUAUUGGACAAUGGGCGAAAGCCUGAUCCAGCCAUGCCGCAUGAGUGAAGAAGGCCUUCGGGUUGUAAAGCUCUUUUAGUGAGAAAGAUAAUGACGGUACUCACAGAAGAAGUCCUGGCUAACUCCGUGCCAGCAGCCGCGGUAAUACGGAGAGGGCUAGCGUUAUUCGGAAUUAUUGGGCGUAAAGAGCGCGUAGGCUGAUUAGUAAGUUAAAAGUGAAAUCCCAAAGCUUAACUUUGGAAUUGCUUUUUAAAACUACUAGUCUAGAGAUUGAAAGAGGAUAGAGGAAUUCCUAGUGUAGAGGUGAAAUUCGUAAAUAUUAGGAGGAACACCAGUGGCGAAGGCGUCUAUCUGGUUCAAAUCUGACGCUGAGGCGCGAAGGGCGUGGGGAGCAAACAGGGAUUAGAUACC